Molecule: long non-coding RNA, 1347 nt
Organism: Gasterosteus aculeatus aculeatus (three-spined stickleback)
Lineage: Eukaryota; Metazoa; Chordata; Actinopteri; Perciformes; Gasterosteidae
Source: Ensembl
UUCAUUAUCAAAACUCCAAAACCUUUGACACAUUUUAAAAGAUUAGGAAGAGGACAUACAGUUGCUUACGGCCAUACCUCUCUGGCUCUGCCUGAUCUCGUCUGAUCUCAGAAGCUAAACAGAGUAGGGCCUGGUUAGUACUUGGAUGGAAGACCGCCUGGGAAUCCCAGGUGCCGUAAGCUUUUUCAUUUCUCUCUCUUGAAGAACUUGAGAAGGCACUAGAAAAGUGAAUCCUAUUUCAUUAUCAAAACUCCAAAACCUUUGACACAUUUUAAAAGAUUAGGAAGAGGACAUACAGUUGCUUACGGCCAUACCUCUCUGGCUCCGCCUGAUCUCGUCUGAUCUCAGAAGCUAAGCAGAGUAGGGCCUGGUUAGUACUUGGAUGGAAGACCGCCUGGGAAUCCCAUGUGCCGUAAGCUUUUUCAAUUCGAUCUGUAAAAGACACAGAGAAGGCCUUAGAAAGUGACUCCAUUUAAUUGUCAAAACUACAAAACCUUUGACACAUUUUAAAAGAUUAGGAAGAGGACAUACAGUUGCUUACGGCCAUACCUCUCUGGCUCCGCCUGAUCUCGUCUGAUCUCAGAAGCUAAGCAGAGUAGGGCCUGGUUAGUACUUGGAUGGAAGACCGCCUGGGAAUCCCAGGUGCCGUAAGCUUUUUCAUUUCUCUCUCUGGAAGAAAUCGAGAAGGCAUUAGAAAGUGACUUCUAUUUCAUUAUCAAAACUCCAAAACCUUUGACACAUUUUAAAAGAUUAGGAAGAGGACAUACAGUUGCUUACGGCCAUACCUCUCUGGCUCCGCCUGAUCUCGUCUGAUCUCAGAAGCUAAGCAGAGUAGGGCCUGGUUAGUACUUGGAUGGAAGACCGCCUGGGAAUCCCAGGUGCCGUAAGCUUUUUCAUUUCUAUCUGUAAAAGACACAGAGAAGGCCUUAGAAAGUGACUCCAUUUCAUUGUCAAAACUCCAAAACCUUUGACACAUUUUAAAAGAUUAGGAAGAGGACAUACAGUUGCUUACGGCCAUACCUCUCUGGCUCCGCCUGAUCUCGUCUGAUCUCAGAAGCUAAGCAGAGUAGGGCCUGGUUAGUACUUGGAUGGAAGACCGCCUGGGAAUCCCAGGUGCCGUAAGCUUUUUCAUUUCUCUCUCUGGAAGAAAUUGAGAAGGCAUUAGAAAGUGAAUCCUUUUUCAUUAUCAAAACUCCAAAACCUUUGACACAUUUAAAAGAUUAGGAAGAGGACAUACAGUUGCUUACGGCCAUACCUCUCUGGCUCCGCCUGAUCUCGUCUGAUCUCAGAAGCUAAGCAGAGUAGGGCCUGGUUAGUACUGGAUGGAAGACCGCCUGGGAAUCCCAG